AGCGGAGGACAUAUCAUAAGCGGAGGAGCAUAUCAAUAAGCGGAGGAGCAUAUCAAUAAGCGGAGGAGCAUAUCAAUAAGCGGAGGAGCAUAUCAAUAAGCGGAGGAUUAUGUCUUUAGUGGGAUGAUCCUCUGAGUGACACAUAAACAAAUAAAUAAAAACUUUCAACAACGGAUCUCUUGGUUCUGGCAUCGAUGAAGAACGCAGCGAAAUGCGAUAAGUAAUGUGAAUUGCAGAAUUCAGUGAAUCAUCGAAUCUUUGAACGCACAUUGCGCCCGCCAGUAUUCUGGCGGGCAUGCCUGUUCGAGCGUCAUUUCAACCCUCAGGCCCCCAGUGCCUGGCGUUGGGGAUCGGCGUGGGCGGCGACGGCUCUCCGGAGCCCGAGCCAAUGCCUGCCGGCCCCGAAAUUCAGUGGCGGUCUCGCUGUAGUCCCCCUCUGCGUAGUAGCACAACUCGCAUUGGAGCUCGGCGGUGGCCAUGCCGUAAAACACCCCACUUCUGAAAGUUGACCUCGGAUCAGGUAGGAAUACCCGCUGAACUUAAGCAUAUCAAUAAGCGGAGGAAA
RNAcentral lists this ribosomal RNA (565 nucleotides) under Paramyrothecium roridum. RNAcentral's name for it is "eukaryotic LSU rRNA". The stretch from base 160 to 313 matches the Rfam family "5.8S ribosomal RNA". Lineage: Eukaryota; Fungi; Ascomycota; Sordariomycetes; Hypocreales; Stachybotryaceae. The record is from RNAcentral.